Molecule: ribosomal RNA, 1029 nt
Filed under: Triticum aestivum (bread wheat)
Lineage: Eukaryota; Viridiplantae; Streptophyta; Magnoliopsida; Poales; Poaceae
Description: partial small subunit ribosomal RNA
Source: RNAcentral
AUGGAGCCGCCGGCCGCCGCUGCCGAUGGGCCUCAGGUGUCUGAGGUGGACUCGUUCCGGCGCCAGGUCGACGACCUCCUCUCCAAGACCGACGUGCUCGAGAAGAGGGUGAACGAGGUGGUAGGGUUCUACAAUUCCAAGAAGCACAGCAGUGGAGGGCGCAAGGCUGGCGGCAGGUACGCGGCAAACGGUGCCAGGGACAGCCACGGCAAUGGGAUGCCCGACCUCAUGCGCCAGUUUGCCGGUAUCAUUCGCCAGAUUACAUCUCAUGAAUGGGCACAGCCGUUUUUGCAACCGGUAGACGUCGUAGGUCUUCAACUUGAUGACUAUCACCAGAUUAUAACAAAACCUAUGGAUUUCUCGACCAUCCGAAACAAAAUGGAAGGGAAGGAAAGUACCACAUAUAACAGUGUCCGAGAAAUAUAUUCUGAUGUUAGAUUAGUUUUUACCAAUGCAAUGAAGUACAAUGUUCAAGGUCACCCUGUUCACAUAAUGGCCAAGUUCCUACUUGAGAGAUUUGAGGAGAAAUGGCUUCACCUUCUCCCUAAAGUUGAGAACGAGGAAAGGGAACGGGAGGAACCAAAUGAUGCUCCAACCAUAAGCAUUUCUCCGGAAGCUGCCAUUGCAAUAUUAGCUGAAGAUACUGGUAAUGAGCUGAAUGAGAUUAAUAAGCAGCUGGAGGAGCUCCAGAAAAUGGUGGUUCAGAGAUGCAGGAAAAUGACCACGGACGAGAAGAGAAAACUCGGCGCAGGUCUUUGCCAAUUGUCUCCAGAAGAUCUUAACAAGGCGCUAGAGUUGGUCGCGCAAGACAAUCCUAGCUUCCAAACUACAGCUGAAGAAGUGGACCUUGACAUGGAUGCUCAGAGCGAGACGACCCUCUGGAGGCUGAAGUUCUUUGUGAGGGAAGCAUUGGAACAACAGGCGAAUGUAGGCGUAGUGGCCUGUGGCAAGAUCGAUGAAAACACGAAGAGGAGCCGCGACAUGUACAAUGCUCUAGCCAAGACCGUUUCGAAACGGAUUAAGAGAUAA